AAACGGCCUGUGGGGGGGAGGGGGGCUCCCCUCCCCGGGUCGGGCGCUCGGCUGGGGGCGCAGCACCUUGGAGAGAGGCGCCCGGGCCGGAGCCUGAUUCGGGGCGCCGUUCCUCGCGCUCGGGGGCCAGGGCGCGUGCCAGGCGGCCGCCCAGGGCCCUCCCGCCGGGUGCCGAGCCCCGAGCCGCGGCGAGCCGGCGCUGCGAGCCUCCUCCCCUCCCGCCUCGGGCGGCCUGAGCCCGCGCCCGCUCCAGUUGCUGCAGCUGCUGCCGCCGGCGGCUGCGGGGAGCGCGGGGAGCGCGGGGAGCGCGCCGGGAGGCUCGGGCGGCGGGGCCGGGGCCGGGAGGGGCCGGGAGGGGCCGGGAGGAGCCGGCGCAGGCGGGGAGGCCGCGCGAGCGGAGGCCGCGGGGCUCGGCGGCGCGGCGCGGGGGUCCCGGGGGUGGCCCGGCGCGUGCGGGGGCGGCGAGCCGGAGCCCAGCGCGGCCGGGGGCGCCGGGGGCGGGGGCGGGGGCGGGCCGCCCGCGCUGCACUAGUUGCCGCCGGCUCAGCCCGGGGCGGCGGGGGCGCGGCGGGGAGGGUCCCGGGCCGGAGCGCAGCGCACUCGCGUGGCGCACGGCGGGCGGGGGGCGCGGGGGGCGCGGGGGGCGCGCGGGCCCGGGGCAGGGGCAGGGGCAGGGGCAGGGGCAGGGGCAGGGCCGGGGCGGCCCGGGGGCGGCGCGGACCCCCGGUGCGCCCUCGCUCCGCGCGCUCGGGGCGUUGGGCGGCGGGGCGCGGGCCGGGCGGGAGCGGCGGGCGCGCUGCAUCCCCUCCCCCCGGGCGGCGGGGGAGGGCGGCGGCGGCGGCGGCGGGCGGCGGGCGGCGGGGGAGGGCGGCGGCGGCGGCGGCGGCGGCGUCCCGCCGUAUAUAUCUCGGCGCACCCCGCCAGGUCGCGCACAGCGCCCCGAGCCCAGGCGCCUCCCCGCCCCCUCCCCGCGCUCCGCGGCGGCGGCGGCGGCGGCAGCAGCGGCAACAUGGCUGUUGA
Molecule: long non-coding RNA, 1020 nt
Filed under: Canis lupus familiaris (dog)
Lineage: Eukaryota; Metazoa; Chordata; Mammalia; Carnivora; Canidae
Description: lncRNA (ENSCAFG00030002780.1)
Source: RNAcentral